RNAcentral lists this microRNA precursor (143 nucleotides) under Oryza sativa Indica Group (long-grained rice). RNAcentral describes it as "MIR812 microRNA precursor family". It matches the Rfam family "MIR812 microRNA precursor family". The record is from Rfam by way of RNAcentral. Lineage: Eukaryota; Viridiplantae; Streptophyta; Magnoliopsida; Poales; Poaceae.
AAUAAGUGUAGCUUUACACUAUUCAUCUUCAACGUUUCACCGUUUGUCUUAUGUGAAAAAUUGACUAUUUUUUUAAAAAAAUUCAUAAUCAAAUAAGAUGGACGGUCAAACGUUGGACAUGGAUUUCUACGGCUGCAUUUAUU